Molecule: ribosomal RNA, 468 nt
Filed under: uncultured bacterium
Lineage: Bacteria
Description: partial 16S ribosomal RNA
Rfam family: Bacterial small subunit ribosomal RNA
Source: RNAcentral
GAUGAACGCUGGCGGCGUGCUUAAUACAUGCAAGUCGAACGGAAAGGCCCUGCUUUUGUGGGGUGCUUGUGUGGCGAACGGGUGAGUAAAACGCGAGUAACAUGCACUUGACUUUGGGAUAUCUUCACGAAAAAGGGGAUAUUACAGGAUAGAAGCUUCUGCAGCAUGGUGGGGGUUGGUAAGUUUCGGCGGUGGUGGAUGGACUCGCGGCUUACCAGCUUGUUGGGGGGGUUGUGGCUUACCCAGCCUAGGACGGGUACCAGGCCUGAGAGGGUGACCGGCCACAUUGGGACUGAGGUGCGGCCGAGGCUCCUACGGGACGGAGCAGGGCGGAAUAAUGCACGAUGGGCGGAAGCCGAAUGCAGCAACGCCGCGUGCCGGAUGACGGCCUUCGAGUUGUAAACCUCUUUCGCCUGUGAUGAAGCGUUAGUGACGGUACUGGGUAAAGAAGCACCGGCUAACUACGUG